UGCUGGGAAGAAUACGUC
Molecule: ribosomal RNA, 18 nt
Filed under: Cheilolejeunea fulva
Lineage: Eukaryota; Viridiplantae; Streptophyta; Jungermanniopsida; Porellales; Lejeuneaceae
Also listed under: 1 other name
Description: Aureolejeunea fulva partial 18S ribosomal RNA
Source: RNAcentral